AUGGCGCGGUACAAGUACACCGUCGCUGGGUUCUUUGUCCUCCUCUCCAUUGCAGCGAUGCUGCAGCCGUCUGAGGCGAGGGUGCAGCCCGCCGUUGCAAACCAAGAAGAAGCCACAGCCACCACCACGGCCAAUGGAGGCUCCCCGUCUCUUCCCGGCCUGCCGUUGCCUCAGAUCCCCGGCAUGCCUAGCCUACCACCCAUAUUCCGCUCCCUUUUCCCAGCACUUCCUCAGAUCCCCGGCUUGCCGCCGCUGUUCGGGCCACUCCCUGGUGGUGCACCGGGCGCCCCGCCAUCCGGUGCACUGCCUAGCCUCCCACACUUGCCACUUCCCACCGGCUCGCCAAGCCCGCCACCGCCGAAGGAGUGCCUGACACCGCUCACGGCCAUGAUAUCGUGCAUGGACUAUCUCACCAACGUCACGGUGUUCUCGCCCCCGACCGCUUGCUGCGAUGGCCUCAAGUCGGUCGUCAGCACCGCGCCGAUCUGCCUCUGCCACGGUCUUAACAACAAUGGCGGCAUGAGCAAGCUCUUCCCCAAGCCUAUCGACCCCAUCCGCAUGAUAAUCCUCCCUGCUAGGUGCGGCGCCAUGAUUCCCCCGCAGACGAUCUUCUCCUGCGCUA
RNAcentral lists this ribosomal RNA (622 nucleotides) under Triticum aestivum (bread wheat). RNAcentral describes it as "partial small subunit ribosomal RNA". The record is from RNAcentral. Lineage: Eukaryota; Viridiplantae; Streptophyta; Magnoliopsida; Poales; Poaceae.